Molecule: ribosomal RNA, 204 nt
Filed under: Triticum aestivum (bread wheat)
Lineage: Eukaryota; Viridiplantae; Streptophyta; Magnoliopsida; Poales; Poaceae
Description: partial small subunit ribosomal RNA
Source: RNAcentral
ACGCCGAAGCUGUAGACGUCGGACUUGACGGUGAGGCGGCCGGUGAGCGCGUAGUCGGGCGCGCAGUAGCCCAAGGUGCCCAUCACGCGCGUGGACACGUGGGUGUCGUCGCCGGAGGGCCCGAUCCGGGCCAGCCCCAGGUCGGACAGCUUGGCGGUGAAGUCGUCGGCCAGGAGGAUGUUGGACGGCUUCAGGUCGCGGUAG